Molecule: ribosomal RNA, 349 nt
Filed under: Ailuropoda melanoleuca (giant panda)
Lineage: Eukaryota; Metazoa; Chordata; Mammalia; Carnivora; Ursidae
Description: partial 12S ribosomal RNA
Rfam family: Bacterial small subunit ribosomal RNA
Source: RNAcentral
AGAUAUUUUACUAAACAAAACUAUUCGCCAGAGAACUACUAGCAACAGCUUAAAACUCAAAGGACUUGGCGGUGCUUUAUAUCCCCCUAGAGGAGCCUGUUCUGUAAUCGAUAAACCCCGAUAGACCUCACCAUCCCUUGCUAAUUCAGUUUAUAUACCGCCAUCUUCAGCAAACCCUUAAAAGGAAAAAAAGUAAGCAUAACUACCCUACAUAAAAAAGUUAGGUCAAGGUGUAACCUAUGGGCUGGGAAGAAAUGGGCUACAUUUUCUAUUCAAGAACAACUUCUACGAAAACUUUUAUGAAACUAAAAGCUAAAGGCGGAUUUAGUAGUAAAUUAAGAAUAGAGAG